RNAcentral lists this ribosomal RNA (498 nucleotides) under uncultured bacterium. Its description in RNAcentral is "partial 16S ribosomal RNA". It matches the Rfam family "Bacterial small subunit ribosomal RNA", at positions 30 to 523 of the family's 1533-position model. The record is from RNAcentral.
AUUGAACGCUGGCGGCAUGCCUUACACAUGCAAGUCGAACGGUAACAGGUCUUCGGAUGCUGACGAGUGGCGAACGGGUGAGUAAUACAUCGAAACGUGCCUAGUAGUGGGGGAUAACUACUCGAAAGAGUGGCUAAUACCGCAUGAGAUCUACGGAUGAAAGCAGGGGAUCGCAAGACCUUGUGCUACUAGAGCGGCCGAUGGCAGAUUAGGUAGUUGGUGGGAUAAAAGCUUACCAAGACGAGGAUCUGUAGCUGGCCUGAGAGGACGAACAGACACACUGUGACUGAGACACGGCCCAGACUCCUACGGGAGGCAGCAGUGGGGAAUUUUGGACAAUGGGCGCAAGCCUGAUCCAGCAAUGCCGCGUGCAGGAUGAAGGCCUUCGGGUUGUAAACUGCUUUUGUACGGAACGAAAAGCCCCGGGUUAAUACCCUGGGGUCAUGACGGUACCGUAAGAAUAAGCACCGGCUAACUACGUGCCAGCCGCCGCGGUAA